RNAcentral lists this long non-coding RNA (203 nucleotides) under Lathyrus oleraceus (garden pea). Its description in RNAcentral is "Pisum sativum (pea) long non-coding RNA (PSAT_LNC023764)". The record is from RNAcentral. Lineage: Eukaryota; Viridiplantae; Streptophyta; Magnoliopsida; Fabales; Fabaceae.
ACAAAGUGAUCGGUGAGGAUUAUGACCCUCAUGCCUACGUAUCCUGAUAGUGUAAUAAGGAAUUCAGAGCUCCGUAGUUCAUGAAACUAAUGGUGGAAGAUGAAAGAAGUUGUGAUAAAGGUAUGGUUUUAACCAAAGGAUAAUGUUAUUAGAACCCAUAAGGUAGGUAUAUCUGAACCAAUGAGAAAAACUGGCAUAUGGCA